AGUGAUUGAAAUCUUCUUGAGGAUAGAAAGGAUGGAUUUUGUGUACAAAUAAUCCGGAUUUUUGGGGCAGAUUUAUCUCCACGUGGGGCAGCUGCUGCUCAAAACUCGGCCUGGAUGUCCUCUUGAACCCCGAUCCUGGAGAGACAAUUUAUUGACACUUUGUCCUUGAAGUGGGAAGGAUAUAGUUCAUCGAUAGCCCCGAGGUUAUCUGCUCUGCUCUGAACCACACAGCUCCACAUUACAGCCCGAUAAGCUCCGGACGUUUCCAGAGCACCAAUAGUUCAUAGUGAGCUUACAGAGACAAAAAUGGCGGGCAGAAUUGGCGGUAUCCAGCCGUACAGUUCAUGAGCAAGAUGCAAGCUCGGACGGGGAUAAUGGAGAUGUACACAAUCUAAUCGUCUACAAGUGAAUUAUCAGAAUGUGGCGAAGUCGGGAUCUUGUGGCCCACCCUAUCUAUCCUGAUUCAUUACAAUUUAAAUAAAGAAAUACUCCAAAAUGCAA
Long non-coding RNA from Oryzias melastigma (Indian medaka), 501 nucleotides. RefSeq lists it as uncharacterized. The record is from RefSeq and is a predicted model, not a curated record. The transcript is spliced from 3 exons. Lineage: Eukaryota; Metazoa; Chordata; Actinopteri; Beloniformes; Adrianichthyidae.